RNAcentral lists this ribosomal RNA (458 nucleotides) under uncultured bacterium. RNAcentral's name for it is "partial 16S ribosomal RNA". It matches the Rfam family "Bacterial small subunit ribosomal RNA", at positions 29 to 507 of the family's 1533-position model. The record is from RNAcentral.
AACGAACGCUGGCGGCAUGCCUAACACAUGCAAGUCGAACGAGACCUUCGGGUCUAGUGGCGCACGGGUGCGUAACGCGUGGGAACCUGCCCUUAGGUUCGGAAUAACUCCCCGAAAGGGGUGCUAAUACCGGAUAAUGUCUUCGGACCAAAGAUUUAUCGCCUUUGGAUGGGCCCGCGUUGGAUUAGCUAGUUGGUAGGGUAAAAGCCUACCAAGGCGACGAUCCAUAGCCGGUCCGAGAGGAUGAUCAGCCACACUGGGACUGAGAAAAGGCCCAGAGUCUGAGGGGAGGCAGAAGUAGGGAAGAUUCCGGAAUGGGCGAAGGCCGGAUGGAGCAAAGCCGCGUUAGUGAUGAAGGUCUUCGGAUCGUAAAACGUUGUUAUUAGGGAAGAAAAUAUGUGUAAGUAACUGUGCCCAUCUUGACGGUACCUAAUCAGAAAGCCAGGGAGAAGUUUGUG